This 432-nucleotide ribosomal RNA is filed under the name uncultured bacterium. Its description in RNAcentral is "partial 16S ribosomal RNA". It matches the Rfam family "Bacterial small subunit ribosomal RNA", at positions 29 to 506 of the family's 1533-position model. The record is from RNAcentral.
AACGAACGCUGGCGGCAUGCCUAACACAUGCAAGUCGAACGAGACCUUCGGGUCUAGUGGCGCACGGGUGCGUAACGCGUGGGAACCUGCCCUUAGGUUCGGAAUAACUCCCCGAAAGGGGUGCUAAUACCGGAUAAUGUCUUCGGACCAAAGAUUUAUCGCCUUUGGAUGGGCCCGCGUUGGAUUAGCUAGUUGGUAGGGUAAAAGCCUACCAAGGCGACGAUCCAUAGCUGGUCUGAGAGGAUGAUCAGCCACACUGGGACUGAGACACGGCCCAGACCCCUACGGGGGGCAGCAGGGGGGAAUAUUGGACAAGGGGGGAAAGCCUGAUCCAGCAAUGCCGGGGGGGUGAUGAAGGCCUUGGGGUUGUAAAGCUCUUUUACCCGGGAUGAUAAGGACAGUACCGGGAGAAUAAGCCCCGGCUAACCCCGU